This 445-nucleotide ribosomal RNA is filed under the name uncultured bacterium. RNAcentral describes it as "partial 16S ribosomal RNA". It matches the Rfam family "Bacterial small subunit ribosomal RNA", at positions 354 to 796 of the family's 1533-position model. The record is from RNAcentral.
GUGAGGAAUAUUGGUCAAUGGACGGAAGUCUGAACCAGCCAUGCCGCGUGCAGGAAUAAGGUCCUAUGGAUUGUAAACUGCUUUUAUUCGGGAAUAAACCUCUUUACGUGUAGGGCGCUGAAGGUACCGAAGGAAUAAGCACCGGCUAACUCCGUGCCAGCAGCCGCGGUAAUACGGAGGGUGCAAGCGUUAUCCGGAAUCAUUUGGUCUAAAGGGUCCGCAGGCGGGCUAUCAAGUCAGAGGUGAAAUCACACAGCUUAACUGUGGAACUGCCGUUGAAACUGAUGGUCUUGAAUUAAGUGGGCGUUGGCGGAAUAUGACAUGUAGCGGUGAAAUGCAUAGAUAUGUCAUGGAACACCGAAAGCGAAGGCAGCUAACGAUACUUAUAUUGACGCUCAUGGACGAAAGCGUGGGUAGCGAACAGGAUUAGAUACCCCAGUAGUCC